RNAcentral lists this long non-coding RNA (401 nucleotides) under Salmo salar (Atlantic salmon). RNAcentral describes it as "lncRNA (ENSSSAG00000089904.1)". Lineage: Eukaryota; Metazoa; Chordata; Actinopteri; Salmoniformes; Salmonidae. The record is from RNAcentral.
GAGAGGGGGAACAGACAGAGGAGGUGUGAGAGGGAGAACAGAUAGAGGAGGUGUGAGAGGGGGAACAGAUAGAGGAGGUGUGAGAACAGAUAGAGGAGGUGUGAGAGGAAGAACAGAUAGAGGAGGUGUGAGAGGGAGAACAGAUAGAGGAGGUGUGAGAGGAAGAACAGAUAGAGGAGGUGUGAUAGGGAGAGCAGACAGAGGAGGUGUGAGAACAGAUAGAGGAGGUGUGAUAGGGAGAGCAGACAGAGGAGGUGUGAGAACAGAUAGAGGAGGUGUGAGAGGGAGAACAGAUAGAGGAGGUGUGAGAACAGAUAGAGGAGGUGUGAGAGGGAGAACAGACAGAGGAGGUGUGAGAGGGGGAACAGACAGAGGAGGUGUGAGAGGGGGAACAGAUAGAG